RNAcentral lists this ribosomal RNA (253 nucleotides) under uncultured bacterium. RNAcentral's name for it is "partial 16S ribosomal RNA". It matches the Rfam family "Bacterial small subunit ribosomal RNA", at positions 524 to 776 of the family's 1533-position model. The record is from RNAcentral.
UACAGAGGGGGCAAGCGUUGUUCGGAAUUACUGGGCGUAAAGGGCGCGUAGGCGGCCCGCUAAGUCGAACGUGAAAUCCCCGAGCUCAACUCGGGAACUGCGUCCGAUACUGGUGGGCUUGAAUCCGAGAGAGGGAUGCGGAAUUCCAGGUGUAGCGGUGAAAUGCGUAGAUAUCUGGAGGAACACCGGUGGCGAAGGCGCCACUCUGGGCCGAAACUGACGCUGAGGAGCGAAAGCGUGGGUAGCAAACAGG